This 497-nucleotide ribosomal RNA is filed under the name uncultured bacterium. Its description in RNAcentral is "partial 16S ribosomal RNA". It matches the Rfam family "Bacterial small subunit ribosomal RNA", at positions 28 to 507 of the family's 1533-position model. The record is from RNAcentral.
GAUGAACGCUGGCGGCGUGCCUAAUACAUGCAAGUCGAGCGAACAGACGAGGAGCUUGCUCCUCUGACCUUAGCGGCGGACGGGUGAGUAACACGUGGAUAACCUACCUAUAAGACUGGGAUAACUUCGGGAAACCGGAGCUAAUACCGGAUAAUAUAUUGAACAGCAUGGUUCAAUAGUGAAAGACGGUUUUGCUGUCACUUAUAGAUGGAUCCGCGCCGCAUUAGCUAGUUGGUAAGGUAACGGCUUACCAAGGCAACGAUGCGUAGCCGACCUGAGAGGGUGAUCGGCCACACUGGAACUGAGACACGGUCCAGACUCCUACGGGAGGCAGCAGUAGGGAAUCUUCCGCAAUGGGCGAAAGCCUGACGGAGCAACGCCGCGUGAGUGAUGAAGGUCUUCGGAUCGUAAAACUCUGUUAUUAGGGAAGAACAAAUGUGUAAGUAACUAUGCACGUCUUGACGGUACCUAAUCAGAAAGCCACGGCUAACUACGUG